RNAcentral lists this ribosomal RNA (490 nucleotides) under Trichomonas vaginalis G3. RNAcentral's name for it is "5.8S ribosomal RNA". The stretch from base 1 to 138 matches the Rfam family "Eukaryotic small subunit ribosomal RNA", at positions 1671 to 1831 of the family's 1831-position model. The record is from RNAcentral. Lineage: Eukaryota; Parabasalia; Trichomonadida; Trichomonadidae.
GCCCGUCGCUCCUACCGAUUGGAUGACUCGGUGAAAUCACCGGAUGCUUACGAGCAGAAAGUGAUUAAAUCACGUUAUCUAGAGGAAGGAGAAGUCGUAACAAGGGUAACGGUAGGUGAACCUGCCGUUGGAUCAGUUCUAGUUUUAAUAACUAACACCAACUUCUUUUAUUAAACAAAAACCAAUACAAAAUUAAAAACUAACUUCAUCAAAAACCAAGUCUCUAAGCAAUGGAUGUCUUGGCUCCUCACACGAUGAAGAACGUGGCAUAAUGUGUUAAGUAACCGGAGUUGCAAACAUCAUGACAGGUUAAUCUUUGAAUGCAAAUUGCGCUAAACUCGAUCUCGGUCGAGAAGCAUGGGUGUGACAGUACUACAUCUUUUAUAAUAAUUCUUAUUCUAAGCGAAUAAGUAAAUAAUAUAUAAGACAAACAACACGUAGUCUGCCAUACGCAGGAAGACCCGCUGAACUGAAGCAUCUCAUUAAGCGG